GCAGAAGAGGACAGUGGAACUCCAUGUGUAGCGGUGAAAUGCGUAGAUAUAUGGAAGAACACCAGUGGCGAAGGCGGCUGUCUGGUCUGUAACUGACGCUGAGGCUCGAAAGUAUGGGUAGCAAACAGGAUUAGAUACCCUGGUAGUCCAUACCGUAAACGAUGAAUGCUAAGUGUUGGAGGGUUUCCGCCCUUCAGUGCUGCAGCUAACGCAUUAAGCAUUCCGCCUGGGGAGUACGGCCGCAAGGCUGAAACUCAAAGGAAUUGACGGGGGCCCGCACAAGCGGUGGAGCAUGUGGUUUAAUUCGAAGCUACGCGAAGAACCUUACCAGGUCUUGACAUACUAUGCAAAUCUAAGAGAUUAGACGUUCCCUUCGGGGACAUGGAUACAGGUGGUGCAUGGUUGUCGUCAGCUCGUGUCGUGAGAUGUUGGGUUAAGUCCCGCAACGAGCGCAACCCUUAUUAUCAGUUGCCAGCAUUAAGUUGGGCACUCUGGUGAGACUGCCGGUGACAAACCGGAGGAAGGUGGGGAUGACGUCAAAUCAUCAUGCCCCUUAUGACCUGGGCUACACACGUGCUACAAUGGAUGGUACAACGAGUUGCGAACUCGCGAGAGUAAGCUAAUCUCUUAAAGCCAUUCUCAGUUCGGAUUGUAGGCUGCAACUCGCCUACAUGAAGUCGGAAUCGCUAGUAAUCGCGGAUCAGCAUGCCGCGGUGAAUACGUUCCCGGGCCUUGUACACACCGCCCGUCACACCAUGAGAGUUUGUAACACCCAAAGUCGGUGGGGUAACCUUUUAGGAACCAGCCGCCUAAGGUGGGACAGAUGAUUAGGGUGAAGUCGUAACAAGGUAGCCGUA
This 857-nucleotide ribosomal RNA is filed under the name uncultured bacterium. Its description in RNAcentral is "bacterial SSU rRNA". It matches the Rfam family "Bacterial small subunit ribosomal RNA", at positions 648 to 1504 of the family's 1533-position model. The record is from RNAcentral.